GCGCCGAGUCCGCCGGAGCCGUUCGUUUCGGUGGGUCUGCGCCGGGGGGAUUGACCGAGGGGCGGAAUCUUCAGCGCGCAUAAAAUGCGAACCCAUCCCCUCUAAAUCUAGACCCUAUUCCUCCACUCGAACCCACCGCUGUCGUGAACACCGAGCGAAGAACCGAAAGAAAGUCACCGCCGCCGCUGCGAGGAUUGAGAUUAGGGGCGACUCUACCCCUGAACCCUGUCUCGGGGGCCUCGUCGGAGGUUGGCGAAGCUCGGGAUGGAAGCAAUCACGCUAAGGAUAACCGCGGUACUGAGAAUUCCUCACCGGAGCGGGCGAGCGCCCGUAAUCCGCGCCGCGUCGUGGAUCUCCGUAGCUGCAUCUCCACCCCUG
RNAcentral lists this long non-coding RNA (378 nucleotides) under Zea mays. Its description in RNAcentral is "long non-coding RNA NONZMAT000904". Lineage: Eukaryota; Viridiplantae; Streptophyta; Magnoliopsida; Poales; Poaceae. The record is from RNAcentral.